RNAcentral lists this long non-coding RNA (1477 nucleotides) under Helianthus annuus (common sunflower). RNAcentral describes it as "hypothetical non coding rna". Lineage: Eukaryota; Viridiplantae; Streptophyta; Magnoliopsida; Asterales; Asteraceae. The record is from RNAcentral.
GAGUGUGUGUUUGGUCGUUCAAACACAGGGGGCGACACAAGGGAUCCCACAAACCCUAGUUCUUCCAAAAAUCCACCAAAUUGAGAGCUCAAAUUCGUUCUAAAUCAAGUCUCAAACACAAAUUCGUGAUCUCCACUGAAAGAGGAGUCAUAAGUUUGACUCUUGACGAGCUAGGUGAAGCUUGGAGAUGAUCAAACGGGAUAAAGGCACGAGUAAGACUUGCUUGGAUGAAAGGUGAUAAAUACAUCAAUAGAUCAUGUUCGAAUUUUGGGUUCCGUCACGAAACGAAAUGGGUCGGAACGAAUAAAAACGUUUAAAACCAUGAUUUGUAAUAAAUAUAAUUGUUUGGUCGUAUAGACCAAAUGGGUCAAAUGAUGGUGAUAACAUCAUAUAACCAUAUAUACUAAUGUUGGUUGUUAAGUCAUAUGCUUACAGGAACGAAUAGAAAUUCGGAUAAUUGCGUCAUCAUAUAAUAUUGAAUUAAUAAUAGCAAGGCAUAAACGGGUCUAUACGUUGACUCGAGUCAGGUACGCUUAUAUAUAGAUUUAUAGUUAAAAGUGCUUAACUUCCCUUCACAGGUCAAAAGGAGUAGAUAGGUGAAACGUGUUAAGAAUUCAUAAGAAACCCGUAAUUUGAACCUUGCACAUUAGUAAAUUGAUAUAACGUGAUAUGCGUGAUAUUUUGAAAAGGUAAUAAACAAGUUUGUUUGAUAAAUCACGAACGGGUCAAAAAGUGUCAUAAUUGAAUUUCAAGCCGAGAGCUUGAAAGUUAAAAUUUUGUGAAUUUAGAUGUUGGAUUUUAACUCCAUAUGAUGGAGGAUCAAAUUACAAUCACGUAGGAAGAAACGGUAGGUCAAACGGACAAGCGGACUAAAAGUUAUGAAGGUUUUCGUUUUAGAAAACGGCAAACUUGGAAAAUCCUGCAGAGGCCACCGUAAGUUACGGUAGCUACCGUAGCUUACGGUAGCCUUAAAGUCUUUACGCCACACACCCACUGUUUUACGGUAGGAGAAUCAACAUUCAGGGGCUACCGUAAAUUACGGUAGACCCUGUAACAAAAAAAAAUGUAUUUUUAUUCAGUUUUGCUUCCCGGACUCGUUUAGAUACGUUUUAAACCCCGUAUGACUAAAGCAUUUCAUGUUUAUGAAAUGUAGGUACAUUUUGGAUGCCGGAAGACGAUCAAGCUCAACGAAGAACCGAACACGAUAAAGAUACAUGCUUCCGCACAUUGCCUCGUCGUAAAUUUUAAACGACGAAUUCGAUCACGCUAUGUUGAAUAACUUAUGAUUUGUAAAAGUUUUAAUAAACCUGUAUUUUUAUAGUAUGUGUAGUCUUAACUACACAUCUAAUUGUUGGUAUUUACAUGUAAAACCGCUAUAUAGUAACUAGGGUCUUACAGGACCGUAGUUAGGAAAUAUUUUAUCAGAGUAAAAUACCACACUUUCAUAAUAUUAAUCACAUGGGAUAAAACCCAAGUU